GUUUGUCAUAAAUGCUUCUGAGUAGGGAAGGUGCAUACUCUAGCAUGACUUUGGGACAUCUGUUGCUGUCUCAAGACCUCGCUGAAUACUGCCAAUCAGGGAAGUGCUAAAGACAGAGCUCCAUGAACUCCCCAGCAUGGCAGUUUUGGGUCUGAAGCUGCAUUUAUGUGCACAAUUACUGUAACUGUCCACACCCACUGGCUUUCUCUUGAGGCCACCCUUGUUUCCUCAGGCUACCCUUCCCAUAAUAUUACUACUCAGGAUGCAGAAGAUUCUCCUACUUCUGCUGCUGCUGCUCUCCAGGCUGUGGCAAGGGGCUUUGGCUGAGGAUUUGGGAUAUGGUAUUGAAAUGCAGCAGUUUGUGAUGGUACAGGAGGCAUUGUGUGUCUUCGUGUCCUGCACCGUUUUCUACCCUUGGAAUUCCCAGGAACCAAUCAGACCCACUUUAUGGCUCCUGAUACCAGCAUAGAGCUGACACAGGAAGGGGUGCUCCAGUGGCUACAGACAACCCCCAAAAACAAGUGCAGGAGAGAACCAGGGGCUGAUUCCAGCUCACUGGGGACCCUUAGGCCUACAACUUCUCUCUGAGCAUCACAGAGGCAAAUAAGGAGGCACUGGGGCAGAUCUCUUUUGAGUGGAGAGAGGAUAUUAUACAAAAUGCAAUUACCAAGAACAGAAGCUGUUCCUGAUUGUCACAGGAAGGAAAGUCAUGAUGUGAGCUGUUUUAUGGAAGCCACCAGUAUUUCCAGGCAUUGACAGCAGCAUUAAUACAACAACCAGUGAGAAAAUGAAGUCUUCAGCCUGAUUCCUUUGAGGGCUUGACUCCUGCAAGAGAACAGGAAAUAUCCUGCAAUGGGAUCCUUCCCCAAAAGCUUUGAAAUGAUUAUAGAAUCACUUGACGUCUUGAUUGUA
Heterocephalus glaber (naked mole-rat) is the source of this 912-nucleotide non-coding RNA. The record is from RefSeq and is a predicted model, not a curated record. NCBI's taxonomy places the organism in Eukaryota, Metazoa, Chordata, Mammalia, Rodentia, Bathyergidae.